CCCUAACCAACAGUGAUCUUUAAGUAAAAAAUAGGUAUUAGGUGAACAAUAGAUAAGUAAAGAAAUAAAAAAACAACAGUAAAAAGACAGUGAAUAAUAACAGUAGCGGGCUAUAUACAGUAGAGAGGCUAUAUACAGUAGAGAGGCUAUAUACAGUAGUGAGGCUAUAUACAGUAGUGAGACUAUAUACAGUAGAGAGGAUAUAUACAGUAGAGAGGCUAUAUACAGUAGUGAGGUUAUAUACAGUAGAGAGGAUAUAUACAGUAGAGAGGCUAUAUACAGUAGAGAGGCUAUAUACAGUAGUGAGGUUAUAUACAGUAGCGGGGCUAUAUACAGUAGAGAGGAUAUAUACAGUAGAGAGGAUAUAUACAGUAGAGAGGAUAUAUACAGUAGAGAGGCUAUAUACAGUAGUGAGGCUAUAUACAGUAGUGAGGCUAUAUACAGUAGAGAGGAUAUAUACAGUAGAGAGGCUAUAUACAG
Oncorhynchus tshawytscha (Chinook salmon) is the source of this 480-nucleotide long non-coding RNA. NCBI's taxonomy places the organism in Eukaryota, Metazoa, Chordata, Actinopteri, Salmoniformes, Salmonidae. The record is from Ensembl.